GAUGAAGAACGCAGCGAAAUGCGAUACGUAAUGUGAAUUGCAGAAUUCAGUGAAUCAUCGAGUCUUUGAACGCACAUUGCGCCCCCUGGUAUUCCGGGGGGCAUGCCUGUCCGAGCGUCAUUGCUGCCCUCAAGCACGGCUUGUGUGUUGGGCCUCCGUCCUCCUCCCGGGGGACGGGCCCGAAAGGCAGCGGCGGCACCGCGUCCGGUCCUCGAGCGUAUGGGGCUUCGUCACCCGCUCUUGUAGGCCCGGCCGGCGCUUGCCGACACAUCAAUCUUUUUUCCAGGCUGACCUCGGAUCAGGUAGGGAUACCCGCUGAACUUAAGCAUAUCAAUAAGCGGAGGA
RNAcentral lists this unclassified non-coding RNA (345 nucleotides) under soil metagenome. Its description in RNAcentral is "partial contains 5.8S ribosomal RNA, internal transcribed spacer 2, and large subunit ribosomal RNA". The stretch from base 1 to 120 matches the Rfam family "5.8S ribosomal RNA", at positions 35 to 154 of the family's 154-position model. The record is from RNAcentral.